Molecule: ribosomal RNA, 709 nt
Filed under: uncultured bacterium
Lineage: Bacteria
Description: bacterial SSU rRNA
Rfam family: Bacterial small subunit ribosomal RNA
Source: RNAcentral
GCAAGUCGACGGUGAAGAGGAGCUUGCUCCUUGGAUCAGUGGCGAACGGGUGAGUAACACGUGAGCAAUCUGCCCUUGACUCUGGGAUAACUGCGGGAAACUGUAGCUAAUACCGGAUAUUACCUUGGAAGGCAUCUUCUGGGGUGGAAAGAAUUUUGGUCAAGGAUGAGCUCGCGGCCUAUCAGCUAGUUGGUGAGGUAAUGGCUCACCAAGGCGACGACGGGUAGCCGGCCUGAGAGGGUGACCGGCCACACUGGGACUGAGACACGGCCCAGACUCCUACGGGAGGCAGCAGUGGGGAAUAUUGCACAAUGGGCGCAAGCCUGAUGCAGCAACGCCGCGUGAGGGACGAAGGCCUUCGGGUUGUAAACCUCUUUUAGUAGGGAAGAAGCGACUGGGUUUUCCUGGGAGUGACGGUACCUGCAGAAAAAGCACCGGCUAACUACGUGCCAGCAGCCGCGGUAAUACGUAGGGUGCAAGCGUUGUCCGGAAUUAUUGGGCGUAAAGAGCUCGUAGGCGGUUUGUCGCGUCUGCUGUGAAAACCCGAGGCUCAACCUCGGGCCUGCAGUGGGUACGGGCAGACUAGAGUGCGGUAGGGGAGAUUGGAAUUCCUGGUGUAGCGGUGGAAUGCGCAGAUAUCAGGAGGAACACCAAUGGCGAAGGCAGAUCUCUGGGCCGUAACUGACGCUGAGGAGCGAAAGCAUGGGGA